UACGUAGGCAGCGAGCGUUGUUCGGAGUUACUGGGCGUAAAGCGUGCGUAGGCGGUGCCAUAAGUCUGUUGUGAAAUCUCCCGGCUCAACUGGGAGGGUGCGGUGGAAACUGUGGUGCUGGAGUGUGGGAGAGGUAGGCGGAAUUCCUGGUGUAGCGGUGAAAUGCGUAGAUAUCAGGAGGAACACCAGCGGUGUAGACGGCUUACUGGACCAUGACUGACGCUGAGGCACGAAAGCGUGGGGAGCAAAC
This 250-nucleotide ribosomal RNA is filed under the name uncultured bacterium. RNAcentral's name for it is "partial 16S ribosomal RNA". It matches the Rfam family "Bacterial small subunit ribosomal RNA", at positions 524 to 773 of the family's 1533-position model. The record is from RNAcentral.